This 71-nucleotide transfer RNA is filed under the name Solirubrobacterales bacterium. RNAcentral's name for it is "tRNA-Gln". It matches the Rfam family "tRNA". From Rfam's summary of the family: Transfer RNA (tRNA) molecules are approximately 80 nucleotides in length. RNAcentral also lists the same sequence under 1 other name. The record is from RNAcentral. Lineage: Bacteria; Bacillati; Actinomycetota; Thermoleophilia; Solirubrobacterales.
UGGGGCAUGGCCAAGUGGUAAGGCUCCGGGUUUUGGUCCCGGGAUCCCUGGUUCGAAUCCAGGUGCCCCAG